GUGCAGCAGGCGCGAAAACUUUACAAUGUGCGAAAGCACGAUAAGGGAACUCUGAGUGCCUCCUAAGGAGGCUGUUCUGAUGUCUAAAAAGCAACAGAAGUAAGGGCUGGGUAAGACCGGUGCCAGCCGCCGCGGUAACACCGGCAGCCCAAGUGGUAGCCACGUUUAUUGGGUCUAAAGCGUUCGUAGCCGGCCAGGUAAGUUCCUUGGUAAAUUUAGCCGCUUAACGGUUAAGCUUUCAGGGAAUACUGCUUGGCUUGGGACUGGGAGAGGUCAGGGGGUACUCCGGGGGUAGAGGUGAAAUCUAUUAAUCCCUGGGGGACCACCGGUAGCGAAGGCGUCUGACCAGACCAGGUCCGACGGUGAGGGACGAAGGCUAGGGGCGCGAACAGGAUUAGAUACCCGCGUAGU
This 411-nucleotide ribosomal RNA is filed under the name uncultured microorganism. Its description in RNAcentral is "bacterial SSU rRNA". It matches the Rfam family "Archaeal small subunit ribosomal RNA", at positions 330 to 745 of the family's 1478-position model. The record is from RNAcentral.